CCUACGGGGGGCAGCAGUGCGGAAUAUUGGUCAAUGGGCGCGAGCCUGAACCAGCCAAGUAGCGUGAAGGAUGACUGCCCUACGGGUUGUAACCUUCUUUUAUAAAGGAAUAAAGUGAGGCACGUGUGCCUUUUUGUAUGUACUUUAUGAAUAAGGAUCGUCUAACUCCGUUCCAGCAGCCGCGGGAAUACGGAGGAUCCGAGCGUUAUCCGGAUUUAGUGGGUUUAAAGGGCGCGUAGAUGGGUUGUUAAGUCAGUUGUGAAAGUUUGCGGCUAAACCGUAAAAUUGCAAUUGAUACUGGCAGUCUUGAGUACAGUUGAGGUAGGCGGAAUUCGUGGUGUAGCGGUGAAAUGCUUAGAUAUCACGAAGAACUCUGAUUGCGAAGGCAGCUUACUAAACUGCCACUGACAUUGAUGCUCGAAAGUGUGGGUAUCGAACAGGAUUAGAUACCCGGGUAGUC
Molecule: ribosomal RNA, 460 nt
Filed under: uncultured bacterium
Lineage: Bacteria
Description: partial 16S ribosomal RNA
Rfam family: Bacterial small subunit ribosomal RNA
Source: RNAcentral